UGGGGAAUAUUGGACAAUGGGGGCAACCCUGAUCCAGCGAUGCCGCGUGUGUGAAGAAGGCCUGCGGGUUGUAAAGCACUUUAAUUGGGGAGGAGAGUAGGUGUAUGAAUAAUGCACUUAUGAGACGUUACCCAAAGAAUAAGCACCGGCAAACUCUGUGCCAGCAGCCGCGGUAAUACAGAGGGUGCAAGCGUUAAUCGGAGUUACUGGGCGUAAAGGGCACGUAGGCGGUCAAAUAAGUCAGUUGUGAAAUCCCUGGGCUUAACCUGGGAACUGCAAUUGAGACUGUGUGACUAGAGUCGAAGAGAGGGAAGCGGAAUUUCCGGUGUAGCGGUGAAAUGCGUAGAUAUCGGAAGAACACCCGUGGCGAAGGCGGCUUCCUGGCUUCAGACUGACGCUGAGGUGCGAAAGCGUGGGUAGCGAACAGGAUUAGAUACCCUGGUAGUCCCUGAGCGGGCUGGCAAGGCGCAU
RNAcentral lists this ribosomal RNA (471 nucleotides) under uncultured bacterium. RNAcentral's name for it is "bacterial SSU rRNA". It matches the Rfam family "Bacterial small subunit ribosomal RNA", at positions 355 to 825 of the family's 1533-position model. The record is from RNAcentral.